RNAcentral lists this ribosomal RNA (274 nucleotides) under uncultured bacterium. Its description in RNAcentral is "partial 16S ribosomal RNA". It matches the Rfam family "Bacterial small subunit ribosomal RNA", at positions 523 to 796 of the family's 1533-position model. The record is from RNAcentral.
AUACGGAGGGUGCGAGCGUUAAUCGGAAUUACUGGGCGUAAAGCGUGCGUAGGCGGUUUGUUAAGUCAGAAGUGAAAGCCCUGGGCUCAACCUGGGAACGGCUUUUGAGACUGGCAGACUCAAGUUGAGUAGAGGGGAGUGGAAUUUCCGGUGUAGCGGUGAAAUGCGUAGAGAUCGGAAGGAACACCAGUGGCGAAGGCGACUCCCUGGACUCAAACUGACGCUGAGGUACGAAAGCGUGGGUAGCAAACAGGAUUAGAUACCCUUGUAGUCC